Molecule: long non-coding RNA, 1325 nt
Organism: Podarcis raffonei (Aeolian wall lizard)
Lineage: Eukaryota; Metazoa; Chordata; Lepidosauria; Squamata; Lacertidae
Exons: 3
Source: RefSeq, a predicted model, not a curated record
UGGAGAGUAAAGAAGGGAGAAAGGGGCUGCUCAGCCAAUAGCCGAGUGGAAGGGAGAAAGGAAUUGAGAUGUUCUAUUUCCUCGCAAGGGAAAGGAGCAUUUCUCUCUAGCUUUUCUGCCACAGAAGGAUAGAAUCGUAGAGUUGGAAGGGACCCAAGGGUCAGUGUGGUGUAGUGGUUAAGAGCAGUGGACUCGUAAUCUGGUGAACCGGGUUCGCUUCCCUGCUCCUCCACAUGCAGCUGCUGGGUGACCUUGGGCUAGUCACACUUCUCUGAAGUCUCUCAGCCCCACUCACCUCACAGAGUGUUUGUUGUGGGGGAGGAAGGGAAAGGAGAAUGUUAGAAUGUUAGCCACUUUGAGACUCCUUCGGGUAGUGAUAAAGCGGGAUAUCAAAUCCAAACUCUUCUUCUUCAUCAUCUAGUCCAACCCCAAUGAAAUGCAGGAAUCUCAGCUAAAGCAUCCAAGAGAGAUGGCCCCCCAACCUUUGCUUAAAAGCCUCCAAGGUUUCCCAGACAGCUAGGUCCAGUGGUCAGGGACGAUGGGAAUUGUAGUCCAACAACUUCUGGGGGCACAAGGUUGGGAAAGACUGGAAACUGAACAGCAGUAGCUUUCCGGGAAGUUGGAAUGCAGCAUUUAUCCAGAUGGUUCUGGGGUUCCCCACUCCUCUCAUAAAGCUUGAAAACUUGUGCCUCCUUUUCUUCCUCUUCCUAAUUUACCGUAUUUUUCGCUCCAUAAGAUGCACUUUUUUCCUCCUAAAAAGUUAGGGGAAAUGUCUGUGCGUCUUAUGGAGUGAGUGUGUGGUCGAUCGCUGGCUCCCUUUCCGGCCCCGGCCCCUUGCCCAGGCCUCCAUUGCUGAAUGUUCUGCAGAAGGAGGCUGAUUGUUUUCCCAGUGACAUGUGACUGGCUGAUUAGAUUAUCUGUCUGGAAACUGUAGAAAUGGCUCCCUUUCCUUUCCUAAAGAAGCUGCAGAAAUGAUUUGCCUUUUUCAAACCACAGACCAGACGGCAAUGCUAUGAAGCCAACGGUGCUUGCAAACUUUUCAAGUGCCCCUCUCCCAUGCUUCAGAUCGGGAAAUGUGGAAUCCUGAGGAAAUGUUGCAAAAGCCCAAUGUGAUAGAAGACUAAUUGAUGCCUGCUGACCCAGGAUCCUUUGAAAAAUGGGAGGUGUUCCCUCGACUUUGAGAGCUACUGGAUCCUGCAUCACCCCCCCAGCUGGAGAUCCCGUCCGUUUAUUCACCAGAGAAUCUGGCUCAAAAUGAAGGGGCUUUUGCAACAUUUACAAUGAGAACAUGAGCUUGUUCCCUUGCAAUAAAAGCAAAUUCAAGA